This is a ribosomal RNA of 437 nucleotides. It matches the Rfam family "Bacterial small subunit ribosomal RNA", at positions 341 to 792 of the family's 1533-position model.
ACGGGAGGCAGCAGUGGGGAAUAUUGGGCAAUGGGCGAAAGCCUGACCCAGCAACGCCGCGUGAGGGAAGAAGGUCUUCGGAUUGUAAACUUCUUUUAUAAGGGACGAAGAAAGUGACGGUACCUUAUGAAUAAGCCACGGCUAACUACGUGCCAGCAGCCGCGGUAAUACGUAGGUGGCAAGCGUUAUCCGGAUUUACUGGGUGUAAAGGGCGUGUAGGCGGAGCUGCAAGUCAGAUGUGAAAUCCCGGGGCUCAACCCCGGAACUGCAUUUGAAACUGUAGCCCUUGAGUAUCGGAGAGGCAAGCGGAAUUCCUAGUGUAGCGGUGAAAUGCGUAGAUAUUAGGAGGAACACCAGUGGCGAAGGCGGCUUGCUGGGCGACAACUGACGCUGAGGCGCGAAAGCGUGGGGAGCAAACAGGAUUAGAUACCCUGGUA